GGGCAUAUAGCUCAGUGGCACAGCAUCUGCCUGGCAAGCCCAAGGUCCUGAGUUUGACUCCUGGUGUUCCCU
RNAcentral lists this transfer RNA (72 nucleotides) under Cavia porcellus (domestic guinea pig). It matches the Rfam family "tRNA". Rfam says of the family: Transfer RNA (tRNA) molecules are approximately 80 nucleotides in length. Their secondary structure includes four short double-helical elements and three loops (D, anti-codon, and T loops). The record is from Rfam by way of RNAcentral. Lineage: Eukaryota; Metazoa; Chordata; Mammalia; Rodentia; Caviidae.